RNAcentral lists this ribosomal RNA (468 nucleotides) under uncultured bacterium. RNAcentral describes it as "partial 16S ribosomal RNA". It matches the Rfam family "Bacterial small subunit ribosomal RNA", at positions 28 to 507 of the family's 1533-position model. The record is from RNAcentral.
GACGAACGCUGGCGGCGUGCUUAACACAUGCAAGUCGAACGGAAAGGCCCUGCUUUUGUGGGGUGCUCGAGUGGCGAACGGGUGAGUAACACGUGAGUAACCUGCCCUUGACUUUGGGAUAACUCCAGGAAACUGGGGCUAAUACCGGAUAGGAGCUCCUGCUGCAUGGUGGGGGUUGGAAAGUGUCGGCGGUUGGGGAUGGACUCGCGGCUUAUCAGCUUGUUGGUGGGGUAGUGGCUUACCAAGCGUGUGACGGGUAGCCGGCCUGGGAGGGUGACCGGCCACAUUGGGACUGAGGUAGGGACCAGACUCCUACGGGAGGCAGCAGGGGGGAGUAUUGCACAAUGGGCGGAAGCCUGAUGCAGCGACGCCGCGUGCGGGAUGACGGCCUUCGGGUUGUAAACCGCUUUCGCCGGUGACGAAGCGUGAGUGACGGUAAUGGGUAAGGAAGCACCGGCUAACUACGUG